This 438-nucleotide ribosomal RNA is filed under the name uncultured bacterium. RNAcentral describes it as "bacterial SSU rRNA". It matches the Rfam family "Bacterial small subunit ribosomal RNA", at positions 8 to 449 of the family's 1533-position model. The record is from RNAcentral.
AGAGUUUGAUCCUGGCUCAGGACGAACGCUGGCGGCGUGCUUAACACAUGCAAGUCGAACGGUGAAGUCCCUCCGGGGAUGGAUCAGUGGCGAACGGGUGAGUAACACGUGGGCAAUCUGCCCCUCACUGUGGGAUAACUCCGGGAAACCGGGGCUAAUACCGCAUAUGAAGCCUGGCGGCAUCGCCGGGUUUGGAAAGUUUUUCGGUGAGGGAUGAGCCCGCGGCCUAUCAGCUUGUUGGUGAGGUAAUGGCUCACCAAGGCGACGACGGGUAGCCGGCCUGAGAGGGCGACCGGCCACACUGGGACUGAGACACGGCCCAGACUCCUACGGGAGGCAGCAGUGGGGAAUAUUGGGCAAUGGGCGAAAGCCUGACCCAGCGACGCCGCGUGCGGGAUGAAGGCCUUCGGGUUGUAAACCGCUUUCAGCAGGGAAGAA